Sinocyclocheilus anshuiensis is the source of this 90-nucleotide long non-coding RNA. RefSeq lists it as uncharacterized. The record is from RefSeq and is a predicted model, not a curated record. The transcript has 3 exons. NCBI's taxonomy places the organism in Eukaryota, Metazoa, Chordata, Actinopteri, Cypriniformes, Cyprinidae.
UUAAAUGUUAGUGGAUAAACCUCCCAUAUUAUUACAUCGAUGUAUGUUCAUCCUCUGCGCGAAUUUAAUACGGUUAAACGCAGCAGAAAC